AGUCGAGCGGAAAGGCCCUUCGGGGUACUCGAGCGGCGAACGGGUGAGUAACACGUGAGUAACCUGCCCCAGGCUUUGGGAUAACCCCGGGAAACCGGGGCUAAUACCGGAUAUGACUGGCUGCCGCAUGGUGGUUGGUGGAAAGAUUUUUCGGCUUGGGAUGGACUCGCGGCCUAUCAGCUUGUUGGUGGGGUAAUGGCCUACCAAGGCGGCGACGGGUAGCCGGCCUGAGAGGGCGACCGGCCACACUGGGACUGAGACACGGCCCAGACUCCUACGGGAGGCAGCAGUGGGGAAUCUUGCACAAUGGGCGGAAGCCUGAUGCAGCGACGCCGCGUGAGGGAUGACGGCCUUCGGGUUGUAAACCUCUUUCAGCAGGGACGAAGCGUUUGUGACGGUACCUGCAGAAGAAGCGCCGGCCAACUACGUGCCAGCAGCCGCGGUAAGACGUAGGGCGCAAGCGUUGUCCGGAUUUAUUGGGCGUAAAGAGCUCGUAGGCGGCUUGUCGCGUCGACUGUGAAAACCCGUGGCUCAACUUCGGGCUUGCAGUCGAUACGGGCAGGCUAGAGUUCGGUAGGGGAGACUGGAAUUCCUGGUG
RNAcentral lists this ribosomal RNA (598 nucleotides) under Actinomycetales bacterium HP38. RNAcentral describes it as "bacterial SSU rRNA". It matches the Rfam family "Bacterial small subunit ribosomal RNA", at positions 60 to 675 of the family's 1533-position model. Lineage: Bacteria; Bacillati; Actinomycetota; Actinomycetes; Actinomycetales. The record is from RNAcentral.